This 2925-nucleotide ribosomal RNA is filed under the name Staphylococcus aureus. RNAcentral describes it as "23S ribosomal RNA". It matches the Rfam family "Bacterial large subunit ribosomal RNA". The record is from RNAcentral. Lineage: Bacteria; Bacillati; Bacillota; Bacilli; Caryophanales; Staphylococcaceae.
UAGAUUAAGUUAUUAAGGGCGCACGGUGGAUGCCUUGGCACUAGAAGCCGAUGAAGGACGUUACUAACGACGAUAUGCUUUGGGGAGCUGUAAGUAAGCUUUGAUCCAGAGAUUUCCGAAUGGGGAAACCCAGCAUGAGUUAUGUCAUGUUAUCGAUAUGUGAAUACAUAGCAUAUCAGAAGGCACACCCGGAGAACUGAAACAUCUUAGUACCCGGAGGAAGAGAAAGAAAAUUCGAUUCCCUUAGUAGCGGCGAGCGAAACGGGAAGAGCCCAAACCAACAAGCUUGCUUGUUGGGGUUGUAGGACACUCUAUACGGAGUUACAAAGGACGACAUUAGACGAAUCAUCUGGAAAGAUGAAUCAAAGAAGGUAAUAAUCCUGUAGUCGAAAAUGUUGUCUCUCUUGAGUGGAUCCUGAGUACGACGGAGCACGUGAAAUUCCGUCGGAAUCUGGGAGGACCAUCUCCUAAGGCUAAAUACUCUCUAGUGACCGAUAGUGAACCAGUACCGUGAGGGAAAGGUGAAAAGCACCCCGGAAGGGGAGUGAAAUAGAACCUGAAACCGUGUGCUUACAAGUAGUCAGAGCCCGUUAAUGGGUGAUGGCGUGCCUUUUGUAGAAUGAACCGGCGAGUUACGAUUUGAUGCAAGGUUAAGCAGUAAAUGUGGAGCCGUAGCGAAAGCGAGUCUGAAUAGGGCGUUUAGUAUUUGGUCGUAGACCCGAAACCAGGUGAUCUACCCUUGGUCAGGUUGAAGUUCAGGUAACACUGAAUGGAGGACCGAACCGACUUACGUUGAAAAGUGAGCGGAUGAACUGAGGGUAGCGGAGAAAUUCCAAUCGAACCUGGAGAUAGCUGGUUCUCUCCGAAAUAGCUUUAGGGCUAGCCUCAAGUGAUGAUUAUUGGAGGUAGAGCACUGUUUGGACGAGGGGCCCCUCUCGGGUUACCGAAUUCAGACAAACUCCGAAUGCCAAUUAAUUUAACUUGGGAGUCAGAACAUGGGUGAUAAGGUCCGUGUUCGAAAGGGAAACAGCCCAGACCACCAGCUAAGGUCCCAAAAUAUAUGUUAAGUGGAAAAGGAUGUGGCGUUGCCCAGACAACUAGGAUGUUGGCUUAGAAGCAGCCAUCAUUUAAAGAGUGCGUAAUAGCUCACUAGUCGAGUGACACUGCGCCGAAAAUGUACCGGGGCUAAACAUAUUACCGAAGCUGUGGAUUGUCCUUUGGACAAUGGUAGGAGAGCGUUCUAAGGGCGUUGAAGCAUGAUCGUAAGGACAUGUGGAGCGCUUAGAAGUGAGAAUGCCGGUGUGAGUAGCGAAAGACGGGUGAGAAUCCCGUCCACCGAUUGACUAAGGUUUCCAGAGGAAGGCUCGUCCGCUCUGGGUUAGUCGGGUCCUAAGCUGAGGCCGACAGGCGUAGGCGAUGGAUAACAGGUUGAUAUUCCUGUACCACCUAUAAUCGUUUUAAUCGAUGGGGGGACGCAGUAGGAUAGGCGAAGCGUGCGAUUGGAUUGCACGUCUAAGCAGUAAGGCUGAGUAUUAGGCAAAUCCGGUACUCGUUAAGGCUGAGCUGUGAUGGGGAGAAGACAUUGUGUCUUCGAGUCGUUGAUUUCACACUGCCGAGAAAAGCCUCUAGAUAGAAAAUAGGUGCCCGUACCGCAAACCGACACAGGUAGUCAAGAUGAGAAUUCUAAGGUGAGCGAGCGAACUCUCGUUAAGGAACUCGGCAAAAUGACCCCGUAACUUCGGGAGAAGGGGUGCUCUUUAGGGUUAACGCCCAGAAGAGCCGCAGUGAAUAGGCCCAAGCGACUGUUUAUCAAAAACACAGGUCUCUGCUAAACCGUAAGGUGAUGUAUAGGGGCUGACGCCUGCCCGGUGCUGGAAGGUUAAGAGGAGUGGUUAGCUUCUGCGAAGCUACGAAUCGAAGCCCCAGUAAACGGCGGCCGUAACUAUAACGGUCCUAAGGUAGCGAAAUUCCUUGUCGGGUAAGUUCCGACCCGCACGAAAGGCGUAACGAUUUGGGCACUGUCUCAACGAGAGACUCGGUGAAAUCAUAGUACCUGUGAAGAUGCAGGUUACCCGCGACAGGACGGAAAGACCCCGUGGAGCUUUACUGUAGCCUGAUAUUGAAAUUCGGCACAGCUUGUACAGGAUAGGUAGGAGCCUUUGAAACGUGAGCGCUAGCUUACGUGGAGGCGCUGGUGGGAUACUACCCUAGCUGUGUUGGCUUUCUAACCCGCACCACUUAUCGUGGUGGGAGACAGUGUCAGGCGGGCAGUUUGACUGGGGCGGUCGCCUCCUAAAAGGUAACGGAGGCGCUCAAAGGUUCCCUCAGAAUGGUUGGAAAUCAUUCAUAGAGUGUAAAGGCAUAAGGGAGCUUGACUGCGAGACCUACAAGUCGAGCAGGGUCGAAAGACGGACUUAGUGAUCCGGUGGUUCCGCAUGGAAGGGCCAUCGCUCAACGGAUAAAAGCUACCCCGGGGAUAACAGGCUUAUCUCCCCCAAGAGUUCACAUCGACGGGGAGGUUUGGCACCUCGAUGUCGGCUCAUCGCAUCCUGGGGCUGUAGUCGGUCCCAAGGGUUGGGCUGUUCGCCCAUUAAAGCGGUACGCGAGCUGGGUUCAGAACGUCGUGAGACAGUUCGGUCCCUAUCCGUCGUGGGCGUAGGAAAUUUGAGAGGAGCUGUCCUUAGUACGAGAGGACCGGGAUGGACAUACCUCUGGUGUACCAGUUGUCGUGCCAACGGCAUAGCUGGGUAGCUAUGUAUGGACGGGAUAAGUGCUGAAAGCAUCUAAGCAUGAAGCCCCCCUCAAGAUGAGAUUUCCCAACUUCGGUUAUAAGAUCCCUCAAAGAUGAUGAGGUUAAUAGGUUCGAGGUGGAAGCAUGGUGACAUGUGGAGCUGACGAAUACUAAUCGAUCGAAGACUUAAUCAA